GAUGAACGCUGGCGGCGUGCCUAAUACAUGCAAGUCGAGCGAACGGACGAGAAGCUUGCUUCUCUGAUGUUAGCGGCGGACGGGUGAGUAACACGUGGAUAACCUACCUAUAAGACUGGGAUAACUUCGGGAAACCGGAGCUAAUACCGGAUAAUAUUUUGAACCGCAUGGUUCAAAAGUGAAAGACGGUCUUGCUGUCACUUAUAGAUGGAUCCGCGCUGCAUUAGCUAGUUGGUAAGGUAACGGCUUACCAAGGCAACGAUGCAUAGCCGACCUGAGAGGGUGAUCGGCCACACUGGAACUGAGACACGGUCCAGACUCCUACGGGAGGCAGCAGUAGGGAAUCUUCCGCAAUGGGCGAAAGCCUGACGGAGCAACGCCGCGUGAGUGAUGAAGGUCUUCGGAUCGUAAAACUCUGUUAUUAGGGAAGAACAUAUGUGUAAGUAACUGUGCACAUCUUGACGGUACCUAAUCAGAAAGCCACGGCUAACUACGUGCCAGCAACCGCGGUAAUACGUAGGUGGCAAGCGUUAUCCGGAAUUAUUGGGCGUAAAGCGCGCGUAGGCGGUUUUUUAAGUCUGAUGUGAAAGCCCACGGCUCAACCGUGGAGGGUCAUUGGAAACUGGAAAACUUGAGUGCAGAAGAGGAAAGUGGAAUUCCAUGUGUAGCGGUGAAAUGCGCAGAGAUAUGGAGGAACACCAGUGGCGAAGGCGACUUUCUGGUCUGUAACUGACGCUGAUGUGCGAAAGCGUGGGGAUCAAACAGGAUUAGAUACCCUGGUAGUCCACGCCGUAAACGAUGAGUGCUAAGUGUUAGGGGGUUUCCGCCCCUUAGUGCUGCAGCUAACGCAUUAAGCACUCCGCCUGGGGAGUACGACCGCAAGGUUGAAACUCAAAGGAAUUGACGGGGACCCGCACAAGCGGUGGAGCAUGUGGUUUAAUUCGAAGCAACGCGAAGAACCUUACCAAAUCUUGACAUCCUUUGACAACUCUAGAGAUAGAGCUUUCCCCUUCGGGGGACAAAGUGACAGGUGGUGCAUGGUUGUCGUCAGCUCGUGUCGUGAGAUGUUGGGUUAAGUCCCGCAACGAGCGCAACCCUUAAGCUUAGUUGCCAUCAUUAAGUUGGGCACUCUAAGUUGACUGCCGGUGACAAACCGGAGGAAGGUGGGGAUGACGUCAAAUCAUCAUGCCCCUUAUGAUUUGGGCUACACACGUGCUACAAUGGACAAUACAAAGGGCAGCGAAACCGCGAGGUCAAGCAAAUCCCAUAAAGUUGUUCUCAGUUCGGAUUGUAGUCUGCAACUCGACUACAUGAAGCUGGAAUCGCUAGUAAUCGUAGAUCAGCAUGCUACGGUGAAUACGUUCCCGGGUCU
This 1372-nucleotide ribosomal RNA is filed under the name uncultured bacterium. RNAcentral describes it as "bacterial SSU rRNA". It matches the Rfam family "Bacterial small subunit ribosomal RNA", at positions 28 to 1381 of the family's 1533-position model. The record is from RNAcentral.